CAGUUCGGUCCAUAUCCGGUACAAGCGCAAGAGUGUUGAGAGGAGCUCUCCCUAGUACGAGAGGACCGGGAGGGACUGACCGCUGGUGUACCUGUUAUCGUGCCAACGGUAAACGCAGGGUAGCCAUGUCGGGAGUGGAUAACCGCUGAAAGCAUCUAAGUGGGAAGCCCACCUCAAGAUGAGCACUCUCACCGAAAGGGUAAGGCCACGGGAAGACUACCCGUUGAUAGGCUCCAGGUGGAAGCGCAGCAAUGCGUGCAGCCGAGGAGUACUAAUAGGCCGAGGGCUUGACUUACAA
Molecule: ribosomal RNA, 298 nt
Filed under: Gloeobacterales cyanobacterium ES-bin-141
Lineage: Bacteria; Bacillati; Cyanobacteriota; Cyanophyceae; Gloeobacterales
Description: partial 23S ribosomal RNA
Rfam family: Bacterial large subunit ribosomal RNA
Source: RNAcentral